ACGGGAGGCAGCAGUGGGGGAUAUUGCACAAUGGAGGAAACUCUGAUGCAGCAACGCCGCGUGAAGGAAGGAGGCCUUCGGGUUGUAAACUUCUGUCCUUGGUGACGAUAAUGACGGUAGCCAAGGAGGGAGCCACGGCUAACUACGUGCCAGCAGCCGCGGUAAUACGUAGGUGGCAAGCGUUGUCCGGAAUUACUGGGUGUAAAGGGUGCGUAGGCGGCUCAUAAAGUCAGAUGUGAAAUACCGAGGCUUAACCUCGGAGCUGCAUUUGAAACUUAUGGGCUUGAGUGAAGUAGAGGUAAGCGGAAUUCCUAGUGUAGCGGUGAAAUGCGUAGAUAUUAGGAGGAACACCAGGGGCGAAGGCGGCUUACUGGGCUUUAACUGACGCUGAGGCACGAAAGCAUGGGUAGCAAACAGGAUUAGAUACCCUGGUA
Molecule: ribosomal RNA, 434 nt
Rfam family: Bacterial small subunit ribosomal RNA